This 443-nucleotide ribosomal RNA is filed under the name Salmonella enterica. RNAcentral describes it as "partial 16S ribosomal RNA". It matches the Rfam family "Bacterial small subunit ribosomal RNA", at positions 1 to 440 of the family's 1533-position model. Lineage: Bacteria; Pseudomonadati; Pseudomonadota; Gammaproteobacteria; Enterobacterales; Enterobacteriaceae. RNAcentral also lists the same sequence under 1 other name. The record is from RNAcentral.
AAAUUGAAGAGUUUGAUCAUGGCUCAGAUUGAACGCUGGCGGCAGGCCUAACACAUGCAAGUCGAACGGUAACAGGAAGCAGCUUGCUGCUUCGCUGACGAGUGGCGGACGGGUGAGUAAUAUCUGGGAAACUGCCUGAUGGAGGGGGAUAACUACUGGAAACGGUGGCUAAUACCGCAUAACGUCGCAAGACCAAAGAGGGGGACCUUCGGGCCUCUUGCCAUCAGAUGUGCCCAGAUGGGAUUAGCUUGUUGGUGAGGUAACGGCUCACCAAGGCGACGAUCCCUAGCUGGUCUGAGAGGAUGACCAGCCACACUGGAACUGAGACACGGUCCAGACUCCUACGGGAGGCAGCAGUGGGGAAUAUUGCACAAUGGGCGCAAGCCUGAUGCAGCCAUGCCGCGUGUAUGAAGAAGGCCUUAGGGUUGUAAAGUACUUUCAGC